Molecule: ribosomal RNA, 492 nt
Filed under: Escherichia coli
Lineage: Bacteria; Pseudomonadati; Pseudomonadota; Gammaproteobacteria; Enterobacterales; Enterobacteriaceae
Description: partial 23S ribosomal RNA
Rfam family: Bacterial large subunit ribosomal RNA
Source: RNAcentral
GAGCACGAAGGUUGGCUAAUCCUGGUCGGACAUCAGGAGGUUAGUGCAAUGGCAUAAGCCAGCUUGACUGCGAGCGUGACGGCGCGAGCAGGUGCGAAAGCAGGUCAUAGUGAUCCGGUGGUUCUGAAUGGAAGGGCCAUCGCUCAACGGAUAAAAGGUACUCCGGGGAUAACAGGCUGAUACCGCCCAAGAGUUCAUAUCGACGGCGGUGUUUGGCACCUCGAUGUCGGCUCAUCACAUCCUGGGGCUGAAGUAGGUCCCAAGGGUAUGGCUGUUCGCCAUUUAAAGUGGUACGCGAGCUGGGUUUAGAACGUCGUGAGACAGUUCGGUCCCUAUCUGCCGUGGGCGCUGGAGAACUGAGGGGGGCUGCUCCUAGUACGAGAGGACCGGAGUGGACGCAUCACUGGUGUUCGGGUUGUCAUGCCAAUGGCACUGCCCGGUAGCUAAAUGCGGAAGAGAUAAGUGCUGAAAGCAUCUAAGCACGAAACUUGC